AUCUACAGCCGUACCAUCCUGAACACACCCAAUCUCGUCUAAUCUCGGAAGCUAAGCAGGGUUGGGCCUGCUUAGCACUUGGACGGGAGACAUUCGGGGCAAGAGAAAUCCAUGCUGUGGGGG
Fukomys damarensis (Damara mole-rat) is the source of this 123-nucleotide ribosomal RNA. The record is from Ensembl. NCBI's taxonomy places the organism in Eukaryota, Metazoa, Chordata, Mammalia, Rodentia, Bathyergidae.